GAUUGCAGGCUGCAACUCGCCUGCAUGAAGUUGGAAUUGCUAGUAAUCGCGGAUCAGCAUGCCGCGGUGAAUACGUUCCCGGGCCUUGUACACACCGCCCGUCACACCAUGGGAGCCGGUAAUACCCGAAGUCAGUAGCCUAACCGCAAGGGGGGCGCUGCCGAAGGUAGGAUUGGCGACUGGGGUGAAGUCGUAACAAGGUACC
RNAcentral lists this ribosomal RNA (205 nucleotides) under uncultured bacterium. Its description in RNAcentral is "partial 16S ribosomal RNA". It matches the Rfam family "Bacterial small subunit ribosomal RNA", at positions 1296 to 1500 of the family's 1533-position model. The record is from RNAcentral.